CCUACGGGUGGCUGCAGUCGAGAAUCUUUCACAAUGGGGGCAACCCUGAUGGAGCGACGCCGCGUGGAGGAUAAGGUCUUCGGAUUGUAAACUCCUGUCAUGCGAGAACAAGGUUGCAGGGCUAACACCUUUGCAAAUUGAUGGUACCGCAAGAGGAAGAGACGGCUAACUCUGUGCCAGCAGCCGCGGUAAUACAGAGGUCUCAACACUGGUCGGGAAUCACUGGGCGGUAAGGUGGUAAGUCAGGCGUGAAAGCCCGGGGCUCAACCUCGGAAUUGCAUCCGAUACUGCCAUGCUGGAGUACUGAAGAGGUGACUAGAAUUCUAGGUGUAGCAGUGAAAUGCGUAGAUAUCUAGAGGAAUACCAACGGCGAAGGCAGGUCACUGGGCAGUUACUGACACUGAGGCACGAAGGCCAGGGGAGCAAACGGGAUUAGAUACCCCAGUAGUC
RNAcentral lists this ribosomal RNA (450 nucleotides) under uncultured bacterium. RNAcentral's name for it is "partial 16S ribosomal RNA". It matches the Rfam family "Bacterial small subunit ribosomal RNA", at positions 338 to 795 of the family's 1533-position model. The record is from RNAcentral.